CCCUCGUCCGAAAAAUCGCUAUUCGAAGCUCACACACGGAGAGAGCACUCGCUCUUUCACUUUUGCCACGAGCUUUGGGAAAAGUCCCCGGACAUCCAGCUUCCUUACCGGAAACUGGUCGCGGAAACGCGCCGCCAUAGAAGCACAGCGGCUGAUCUCGGCCGCCAGUUCCUUGUCUGUCCGGCACCGCCCGGCCCAUCACUCCAAAGUCGGCCGACUUCUCCGUCGCGGGUUUGCAGUAGUCCGAUUCCCGGGUCGGAGACCUCAUGGACGAAGAUAUGAGUCCGCGCUCCGGCCGCCUGUGGGCGUGAUUUGCCGUGUACGUCGGCGGGGUAACUGGCCGAUGGUGGGCUGCCGCUGGUCCGGUCGGGACUGGGAGCGUUACGGCUGGCUCGAGAGAUUUCGUCAAGAUUGCACAGACAUGCGAUUGCUCGUCGUCUGGAAACAGCGGCGAGUAACUCGACGGGGCUCAUUCUUGGUGCGAGG
This 486-nucleotide RNase MRP RNA is filed under the name Thermothelomyces thermophilus ATCC 42464. RNAcentral describes it as "Myceliophthora thermophila ATCC 42464 RNase MRP". It matches the Rfam family "RNase MRP". Rfam says of the family: RNase MRP is an enzymatically active ribonucleoprotein with two distinct roles in eukaryotes. Lineage: Eukaryota; Fungi; Ascomycota; Sordariomycetes; Sordariales; Chaetomiaceae. The record is from Rfam by way of RNAcentral.